RNAcentral lists this ribosomal RNA (253 nucleotides) under uncultured bacterium. RNAcentral describes it as "partial 16S ribosomal RNA". It matches the Rfam family "Bacterial small subunit ribosomal RNA", at positions 524 to 776 of the family's 1533-position model. The record is from RNAcentral.
UACGUAGGGUGCAAGCGUUGUCCGGAAUUAUUGGUCGUAAAGAGCUCGUAGGCGGUCUGUUGCGUCGGCUGUGAAAACCCGAGGCUCAACCUCGGGCCUGCAGCCGAUACGGGCAGACUAGAGUUCGGUAGGGGAGACUGGAAUUCCUGGUGUAGCGGUGAAAUGCGCAGAUAUCAGGAGGAACACCGGUGGCGAAGGCGGGUCUCUGGGCCGAUACUGACGCUGAGGAGCGAAAGCGUGGGGAGCGAACAGG